RNAcentral lists this transfer RNA (69 nucleotides) under Ognevia longipennis. RNAcentral describes it as "tRNA-Thr". It matches the Rfam family "tRNA". Rfam says of the family: Transfer RNA (tRNA) molecules are approximately 80 nucleotides in length. The record is from RNAcentral. Lineage: Eukaryota; Metazoa; Arthropoda; Insecta; Orthoptera; Acrididae.
GUUUUAAUAGUUAAAAAAAAACAUCGGUCUUGUAAACCGAAAAUAAGGCAUGCCCCCCUUUUUAAAACU